GGCUUAACACAUGCAAGUCGAGCGGUAACAGGGGUAGCUUGCUACCCGCUGACGAGCGGCGGACGGGUGAGUAAUGCUUAGGAAUCUGCCCAGUAGUGGGGGAUAGCCCGGGGAAACCCGGAUUAAUACCGCAUACGUCCUACGGGAGAAAGCAGGGGAUCUUCGAACCUUGCGCUAUUGGAUGAGCCUAAGUCGGAUUAGCUAGUUGGUGGGGUAAAGGCCUACCAAGGCGACGAUCCGUAGCUGGUCUGAGAGGAUGAUCAGCCACAUCGGGACUGAGACACGGCCCGAACUCCUACGGGAGGCAGCAGUGGGGAAUAUUGGACAAUGGGGGCAACCCUGAUCCAGCCAUGCCGCGUGUGUGAAGAAGGCUUUCGGGUUGUAAAGCACUUUCAGUAGGGAGGAAAACCUUAUGGCUAAUACCCAUGAGGCUUGACGUUACCUACAGAAGAAGCACCGGCUAACUCCGUGCCAGCAGCCGCGGUAAUACGGAGGGUGCAAGCGUUAAUCGGAAUUACUGGGCGUAAAGCGCGCGUAGGUGGUUUGGUAAGCGAGAUGUGAAAGCCCCGGCCUUAACCUGGGGAACGGCAUUUCGAACUGUCAGACUAGAAUGUGGUAGAGGGUAUUGGAAUUUCCUGUGA
This 641-nucleotide ribosomal RNA is filed under the name uncultured Marinobacter sp. RNAcentral's name for it is "bacterial SSU rRNA". It matches the Rfam family "Bacterial small subunit ribosomal RNA", at positions 45 to 676 of the family's 1533-position model. The record is from RNAcentral. Lineage: Bacteria; Pseudomonadati; Pseudomonadota; Gammaproteobacteria; Pseudomonadales; Marinobacteraceae.